GGAGAGUGUGAGCUCCAAGAAGGCCAAGACUCAGGAUGAUGAGGAGGCUGAGGGCUCCAAAUCUGAGGUCGAAGACGAGGGUAGCGAUGAGGUAUAAACAUUAAGCAUUUUGGUUGAUGGUUUAUGUUUCGAGUGCCAAUGAUGUUUACCUUCUAGUGUUUUAGUGACACGAUUGAUUUUUCUGCCUGCAGGAUAAUGAAGACGACGAUGAGUAAAUAGUGUAUCCAAGCACGAGGUAGCAAAUUGGGAGUUGGGUCCCCGCGUAGUGUACUAGUUUGCUAUCCUGCUAUCUUCAGUGUUAGAUGAUGAAAUUUGGAAGUAGAUGUGCCUUUGUGUGUUAAGGGGGCCCCUCUUAGACUUGUGGACUCAUGGUUUGAGAAGUUGCUUAGUAGUGUAUUAGCAGAGAGAGAGCCGAGAAUGCCACUAGCUGUCUCUUGCUAACCACUUGUGUAAGAACUUGUUUUCAUUCGCUAAUCUGAUGACUGCCCAGCCAUUGGCUCUUGGUUAAUUUCGUCUUAAAUUUGUGGCGAUUUGCUUCACGUGUUACUCCUGUGUGUAAUCUAUCUGCUUUGUUUGGCUUUCGGUAAUUUGGUUGAAUUAUCAGACAUAGUCUGUUGGUAAUGUGGUGUUUGCUGGGAUUAUUUCAGCGCUAGAGUAAUAUAUGAACUAGAUUUAGCAGGGCUGAGAACGUACUGUAUAAUUUGCUAGUCUGCUGUUUGUGAUUCUGUCGUUGUUGCCUUUUCUCGGAUUGGCAUUCCAGUGAUGCCAGCUGAACUGUUGUUGACUUCUGUCGGCGAUGCAAAUGGUAACUGCAUUUUUGGAUAAUAAGUGGAAGCCGUGUCACAUCCAGCGCCGUUGGCUGCCGGUUUUCUUCAAAGAGAAGCUCUGUUUGUUUUAUCUCGUGUAACUGCAGGGUCGUGUUCGGUUCGUCGACCGACUUCCGUGCCCAGCACUGGCCUAUUGAUGCUGCAAAACAAGAGACGCUAGUGUGACAGUGUCCAACAUAGCAGACAGUAUCAUUGAUGACAUGGGAGAGAACUAAACAUAGACACGACUAGUAUCACUAAUCACAUGCGAGAGAACUAAACAUAGAUGACUAGUAUCACUAAUCACAUGGGGGAGAACUGUUUUCAUAUGGGAGAUCGUUCUUCGCAUUCUUUCUGUCUGCUCAACCUGCAACGGAAAACUGGUGAUAGUCAGGUAAUGAAUAUUAAGAAGGCGAUUUCGAAUUCAUGGUCCAAGCUUCCGUAGCAUAGUGGUAUUGCGUUCGCUUCGUAAGCGAAAGGUCGUGAGUUCGAUCCUCACCGGGAGCAUUCUUUUUGGGGGCGUCCGUUCAUACAACCAUUUUUUUCAACGAUUGCAAUAAAAAACAAAAUUUGCAACAAAAAAAGUAUGUACGUGAUCGUAGCAAAAAAACGAAGCUGAUGGUAUGUGGUAGCAAAAGUGAAACGCUGGUUGUAACAAAUAUUUACAUGAUGUGUAUGCAACUUUUUUAGUGAACGGUUGCAGCAAAAAAUGAUGUCGGUUGUAGUAAAAUUAACACGGUUGUAGCAAAAGGAAAAAACAUUGAUUGUAACGAAAAAUCGAAAAACUGAAUGUGGUUGUAGUAAAAUUAGCACGGUUGUAGCAAAAGUAAAAAACAUCGAUUGUAACGAAAAAUCGAAAAACUGAAGUUGCAACCAAAUGUAUAUGCAGUUUUUUUACUGAACAAAUGUAGGAAAAAAAUAACGCUUGCAGCAAAUAGGAAAAAAAAUAACGCUUGCAGCAAAUAUGACGCUGGUUGCAACAAUUUAAACGAAAAAAUGUUGCAUGCCCAGUCAACACGCGCGGGCAGUUGUGUUGAACGGUUCGGCCGGCACACUGACCAGAAACGAUUCCCUUCUUUCUGUCAUUUUCGUAAUCAUUUUUUUAUUUUGGAUGAAGAUUGUGGUAACCAAUAGUGGUAGGUUUUUUUUGAUAACAUCCAAUAGUGGUAGUUCUUCUGUAGCGUAGAUUGCGGCUUUUUCUAUACCUACUAAUGACAUCGUCAAUGCUCACCACUCUUUCUUUCCCGCAAAUGUUUCUUUUUAGUCUAGACUAUGUCCGCGGACAAGAUACCGGAGGCCGUCUCACCCAACAUUGCCCGCAUACAUUUUAAAAGUAAAAUUAAAGUAACUGGAUAAAAUUUGUUGAAAUGACGAAUUAUCAAUAAUUGUAAAAGAUUCAUAUAAACACGAUGGGUUUGGUAUAAAACAUGACAAAAUUUAUUAUAUUAGGGAGAUCGACACGAGUCCUAAGAAGAGAAGCUUUGACGCUUGCGUUCAUUUUCUGCAGCUCAUUCCUAACAAUGCAUGCCGCCUUAACUUGAGUGGCUAAUUGGUGACGUUUAUCAGUCCGCCAAGCUUGGCGUCAGGUGAAGGGGAAGAGCGAUGGCAUCCUUGAGACCCGAAGGUCGGCCACCAUGUACUACUCUUCCUCUAUCGAUGGCGCAUGUACCGUGUUGUGUUUGUGGUACUGGCGGUGGGCAGCUUGUUGGGCGGUGCCAACGAUAUCCUCCUCAUUGUUGCUUUUGCCGAACACCUCGUCCACCGCCUCGUCGUACUCCCUGUAGGCGGCUUUCAGUUCCGCCUAACGAGUGUAAGUCUUCAAGUGGGGGCGCAAGUGCAUGUUUUAGAAAAGGGUUUAAAAGGGGCAACUCCAAGUUUUCAAGUAAGUUUUCGAAAUUGGGAGGAGGGGUGCUUGCAUGGGCAGACCAUAGUAUGAGUGUCUUAACUCAUGGGUUUUAAUUUUUAAAUAUAUUUUUAGGGGUUUUCAGGAGGUGUGGGCCACGAUCAGCCAAUGCCACUACAACAAAAGGAAUUACCAUUUUUGUGUUAGUUGAGCUUAUAUUUUCAGCUUGUUGCCUUUUCUUCACCUUCCAUUCACCUUUUUUUUGCCUUUUUCUGUCACAUGAGAACAAAAUUUAAGACAAGGGGAAUGCUUUUUUUUAGUUGCACACUGCCGUUUGACAUGCAACUGAACGAGCAUCAUCGGAAAGACUAAAAUAAAUCUAACAAAAUAUGAACACCCGUGCCAAGCUUAGGACUCGAACUCAGACGGGUUGGUUCCACCACAAAGAGCCUAACCAUCGGAGAGCUAGGCUCAGUUGGCACAUACAACUGUAGUUGGUAAAAAUAUGAGAAUUGAUUUUUUAUUGUCACCUUGUAUCGACAUGCUCGCGUCAAUGCAUAAGUCGACGAGUUUUUCACCCAUUUUUUCUGUGCAUCUCCUUUUCGAUCAAAACAUAGUUACAACAGGCUCAAUUAGAACAAUUGCACUAUCUUAUUUCACCAUUUUCCUUUUUAUUUUUAUUAAUUUUUUUGUAGGAAGUAAUACAUGUAUAUUUUGUGGAAGUGCAUUAGCAUUUUAUUUGAACAAAAUUUAAAUAUGAACGUGUCUUCAAAUGAAAUACUAUUUUUUACAAAAGCAUAUUUUUUGAAAUGCAUGAACACUUUUCCAACAUUUGUAAUAAAUUUCCUUUUUAUUAAUAAUUGUUGUUGUGGCCUAAUAAAUGUCCAUGAUAUUAAUUCUCCCUUCUAUAAUAAAAUUCAUGUGUGAUUUGUUUUUUUGCAACUGGUUGCAAUAUCACUCAACUACUCUAAAAGUAUAUUCUCAGCACCCAAACAAAUUCACGUGUUAGCAAGAAUAAAAAAUUCAAACAUGUAAGUAUCUGUGUAAUUUUUCAAAAUGGUAAGUGUAAAUAUUGAAUUGCUGAAGAUUUUCUAAAUCUAUGAACAUUUUUGAAAACACAUGAACAAUUUUUUGAAUCCACAAACUUUUAUGAAUUCAAGAUUUUUUCAAAUAUAUAUAUAUUGAAACUUGGAACAUUUUUAAAUGCUUAAUCAUUUUAAAGAAGAACAAAUAAAGACAAAAACAAAAAGAGAAAAAAGAAAUGAAAAAAAUAGCAGGAGACCAGACCUACUCAUGGGCCGGCCUAAUAGGGUGGGCAGGAGGGUGGACGUGUACGCUCGCUCGCUCUAUUGGCCCACCCUCCUCAUGUGUGGUAUAGGAGGUCCUGUUGCACACUCCUCCUCAAUCGUUCGUUCUGAUGGGUGUCAAGGGGAAGCCCUGGAUUCGCGAGAGACCCAAUCAACUAUUUUAUAAAUGUCAUGAAUAAAAAAACUAGAUAUUUUGUCAUAAAAACACAUAAACAUAGAAUUACAAAGAGUAAAAAUGCAUCAUAAGUGCUAAAACUAUUGGGGUUGUGUUAGUUUAGUCUUAAAAAAUUAAACUAUAGUUUUAGGCCCUAAAACUAUUGGAGGUGUGUCAAUUUGGUCAUAUAACUUCGAAAAUGCAGUUGUGGGACCAAAAACUAUGUAAGUUUGUUCACCUCAUGUCCUAAGCUUGUAUGUCUAGCAUUGACCCGUCGACGUGUCUCUUGGAUAUGCUUGGACUAUUGCCAUGUUGACCGAAUGGACACCAGGUUAACCUAUGAAAGGUAAAUCUAGAAAAAACCCAAUAAAGUGUUGUCUCACCUCAUCUCACGGCAUUGUCUUCUCCCACACAUAAAAUGUUUGGUGGUGAUAGGACGGAGGCCAUCAAGGACAUGAUGUCUUGAGCUCCAACGUGGAGAGUAGAUAUGUCAUCUCAGCCUCACCUAUUUGUGGAAGAAUGACACGUUGCACAAUGUCCAAUUGCUACCUACCUGUGACUCCUCUUGGGUCUGUGUCACCCUUGCCGACCUUUACGUUGGCUUCACAAUUUUAUGUGCACUCCCCUGCAUCAUCUAUCAACAAUGAUAGUUCCCCAUCUGUGGACAUGUCCCUUGUUAGAGCAUAUUUUUUCAUGUGUGGUUUUGGUAAUUGAUGACAAUCCCUAUAGACUAAUGGCCGCCUUGAGUUAUAUUUGAAGGAUUUAUCCAUAAGCAUUUCUUGAAGUUCAACCGUUGGUUUGAAGGAUUUUAUAUGGUGAUCAAGGUGGUAUUCAAGGUUUUAUCCAAAGAUUUGUCAUGUAAGAGUUGAGCUCAUUGCAAUCAUGACUUGAAGAAGAAGAUUGUAUGAACAUUCAUGUUUAUCUUCAAGACAUCAUCCUUAUGAAGAGAGAAGAUAAGAUACAAGGUUGAUCAAGACCAAGUCAAGAGUGAAUCAAGUUUAUCAACACAUAAAGCGUACAAGAUGCCGAGAGGGAUCAAGUGAUCCCACGAUAUGGUAAGCAUUAUCCAUUACACUUUGUGUACUAACACAUGGUCUAUGGGAGAGUUCUAUGUGUGGUUAGGUAUGUUUCCAUGGGCUUGCGUCAAGAGGAAGAUCUCAUACAACCCAUGAAAGAUGACAUCAAGUGGUGAUCGUCAUCAAGAUUGCAGUGUACAAGUUCAAAUGGAGCAUCAAGAAGAGAUCAUGCUUGAAGCUUGCCAUCCAUUGUGGUGAAAAUGGACUUGUGAAGAUGCGCCGAAGAGUGGCUCAUCCAUAGUGGAGUAUGGAGGAGCAAUCAACCAGUCUUCAUCGAGCCAACACAAUCAAGAAAUAUGGUCCAUCUUGAGGAAGUCAAGAUCGUCAUCAUCUCGCUCAAGUGGACUAUGUGUCAGGUAUAGGUUUGUCCUUGAUAACUUUUCUAUUUUACCGGUAUGAGGGUGUUAGUUGGGAGGCAGGUGUCGUGGUUUUGUCACGGCAGAUGUCCUCGUGAAAGGACUUAGUGAUGGAGCCAUCGCACCUUGGUGGCGACUCAAAGAGGGUGAGCGGAAGCGAGACUCAGGUUUACCUAGGUUCGGCCCCUCCGGUGAAGGUAAAAGCCUACGUCCUGCUUUGUGUAUAUUGAUGGUGGAUUCGAUUACAAGGAGGGCGCAACUCGCUUGAGCUAUCUCUCGAUGGAUUCUAAUUUAACCUCUCUGCCCUAGAGACUCGCCUUUAUAUAUAGGUCGAUGCCCUAGGAUUUACAAAGUCCUAGCCAUGUUACAAACCAUGGCUUUCCAUAUCUCUAAGUCGCCGUGUCUUCCAAGUCAGGUUACCUCCUUGGCAACUUAUCUUUUCUCUUAAUCUUGAACCGCCAUCCAGCUCAUGGGCCCUGGCAGCCCUUUGUCAAGGUCUCCUGGCGCAUCUCAGACCCUCGGCCAAGGCUUAUCUUGAUCGUUAAUGUAGAGUCAUCGUUUUACCUGACCCGGCCCAAUAGGGCGGGUCAUACCGUAGGUAAUAUCCCCAACAUUAGGCCCCAGAUUGACUUGAAUUUGUUCACGCCAAUAAACCUUCACGCUUGUCUUCGGCGACUGAUACGCGAUCUCUGACCCUCCUUCAAUAAACAACGAGCCGCCAACUCUUAUGAAUUGUCUGAGUCACCAGGUCCUUUAUUGGUGAUGUCAUCCUCUCCACAAUUCCUGGGAUCUUGAUGACAUCACUCCCAACGGAUCUUUUGUCUUAUCCUAUCAUCCCGAAAAUCUAAACGCCAUCAUUUCCGGUUUUCAAUAUAGCUCCUCGAUUCCCGCACCUGCCAUUUCGAUUCUGCCCUAGGUCUUUAAAUAGCCGCAGGGGGACGGGCGCAUUCCCACCUACCUCUAUUCCAUCUCCUCGGCUGCGUCUUCUUCCUCGGGCUCGCGUCGCGACCACCACGCCAUCGCCGAACCUCUGUCGCGGACCAGCCGCUUCUCAGGCUGCUCGGGGGCGCGGUCUUCGCCAUAGAACCUCCGCGUCCUUCUUCAUUCGUCGUCUUCCUUCUUCACGUAACUUCCCUUUCUCCAUUAGACCUAGAUCUCGAACCUCCAUAGUUCUUAGGGUAACACCGAAACUCCAUGAACGCCAACUCCUCGUGCCAUUAUCCCAUCUAAGUAUGGCUUUUAGAUCCUUCCCUUUAUCAAUAAACUGUGGUAGUUCCAUCACAAUCUCCAGCAAGUUUUAUUCUUACUCCAUUAUUUUACAGAUCCACACACUGUUUUCACAGUGUUUUUGUGUUCUUAGCGCCUGAAUUUUUGCAAGUAUUAUUUUCCUCAAUAGAAUCACCUCUAGAUCCGUAAAUUAUCUCUCGGUAUUGAAAACAUGUUUGUCCUUGAUUAGGAAUAUCCUAAGGAAAUUUUUAGGCUCACAACCGACCCUCAAUGCUGUGGCGAGUCACAACUCCCUUUUAGUCAUGCUCUCAAUUGUUGGCCGGCAAGUUACCAUUCCGUAGGUUGUGACAACCCGCCAAACCUUCUUAUGCAGAUCUCUGUCCCCUCUUUUUUAACUUUGCAACUAUGGGUUCCAUCUCCAAAUGCAACUGGCUGCCAACAGAAGUCAAUGACGCUUAUCUUGCAAAAUUCGGGAAAGUGGGCAACCUUGUGUCCAAAGAAGCGAUCGGCUGGCGAACCGCCUUUAGGGAGAAAAUUCCUCAACCCGCCGAAGGAUAAGUAGUCAUUUUUGCUGAUCACCUCGAGCGAGGCUUCACGUCGCCCGACUCAAAGUUCUUCAGGGACGCCUUGCACUUUUUCAACCUCCAUCCUCAAGACUUAGGGCCAAACUCCAUCAACAACAUGUGACAAUUCCAAGUGUUCUGCGAGGCUUACCUGCAGAUAGAGCCUACUGUGCUUUUGUUUAGGAAAUUCCUUUACCUGAACCGCCAGACUGAAUUUGCCAACGGGCCCUACCUAGAGCUAGGGGGAGUUAACAUCCAGCAACGGUAUGAAUGUGGGUUCCCAGCUAUUACUUUGCCCAGUCAUCCCAAAGGUUGGGCAAAGACUUGGUUCUACUACCGCGACACUUAUCCACCCAAUGAGAACCCUUUACCAGGCUUCAGGGAGGAACGUCUGCCCAAGGAUUUCAAACUGCGUGAAAAGUUAACUGAAGAAGAAGAAGCCACAUUCGUCCCUAUCUUCGCAAAACUCAGGGCUCUUACUAUCUGUUGGAGAUGUUACCUGUGGGUAACCCGCCCUUAAUGGGCCGGGUCACCAACGGGGCGACUCACCUUUGGUCAUGUGUCCAAUGGCCCAGAAGUUUUGGGGCGGUUCGAGAAGACCGUAUAGAUGAUGGAACGUCAAGGAAGCUCUGGGACGUGAGGAGCACGGCGACUUAGAGAUAAGGAAAACUACCAAGUGUAGGGUAGCAGGACUUUGUAAACCCUAGGGCCUUGACCUGUAUAUAAAGAAGAGUCCCGGGGAAAGGUCAGGCGAGUUAGAGAGAAUCGAGAGCUAGGUCAGGCGAGUUACGCCCUCCUUGUAAUCGAAACCAUCAUCAAUCUACGCAAAGCAGGACGUAGGCUUUUACCUCCUCACGAGGGGCCAAGCCUGGGUAAAUCUGAGUCUCGCUUUCGCUCACCCCCUUUGAGUCGCCACCAAGGUGCGAUGGAUCCAUCUUUAAGUCCUUUCACGAGGACAUCUGCCGUGACAAAACCACGACAGUUGGCGCCCACCGUGGGGCUAGCGCAUGGUGGAGUUGAGUUCUCGAAAGGAGCCCUAUCAGGGUUAGAAAGCUACGCUAUCGGCAUCAUGACCAAGAGUCGCCGUGGGAAGUACUACAUCGACAACUCACUAUGGGAAUCGGAGGCCGAUUCCGUCGAAUCUGGCUACCGAGUCCCCUUCGGCAAGAUCAACAUCUUCAUUGGCAUGAUCGGGACGCCUGUUCCUGAGCCGGACACCUCCAUCGACAUCGUCGAGCCGGCCAGGUACGUCCUCCCCGUCACCCGACGGAACAAGAGCCGCCAGGUUUUCGUCGACUUUACGCAGGGAGGCGACUCGCAAGACAAAGAGGCGGGCCAGGACGUCACCCCGUCAAUUCCGAUGGCGAGUUAUCCAUGGGUGAGACGGCAUUGAUCCACCCUCUUGAGGAAGGGCAGCUCGGGGGACUGUCACUGGCGAUGGAUCCCGAAGUCCUCGAGAGAUCUCGCCGACAAAUCGCCAUCUACAUGGCGGGGUCAGCACAUCCUCCUCAGAACCCGAUUGGCAACAAUGAGACCCGAGGAACGUCCAAACCUCCAGCGCAAACCAUGACGGAGUUGGCAACGGAGAUAGCCAACCUUAUGGCAACCCCGGUCACGUCUGAGAAUCAGGAGUCGGUCAAUGCUGAGAUGGCCAAGCUGCGGGAGGCAAUGGCCAAAGCACAGCGCGACAUGGAAGCAGAAGCCGCCAGGAUCGAGACACAGCGAGUUGCGAUCGCCGCACAGACCGAUCGGCUGAACACCAAAGGUUGGCGGCUCGGGAUACAACAACGCGCGUCGGACGCCGUCCACCAUAGAAGACACGGCGGGCACAUUCUGACCGACUUACACCCAACUCGCCUCUUUGACACCCCCCGCACCCGUGGGGCGGGCCCUGACCGGGCUCUGCAAGCCGCCCCGAGGGGAGGAACGAUUCCACCGUCCAAUAUGCCGCCGGGUCAGCCCAUGGACGCUCAUGCGACUCGAUUCCAGACAUCGCGGGGCCACUUCUCAAACC
RNAcentral lists this long non-coding RNA (9346 nucleotides) under Hordeum vulgare. Its description in RNAcentral is "long non-coding RNA (HVUL_LNC016423)". The stretch from base 1242 to 1313 matches the Rfam family "tRNA". The record is from RNAcentral. Lineage: Eukaryota; Viridiplantae; Streptophyta; Magnoliopsida; Poales; Poaceae.